RNAcentral lists this ribosomal RNA (748 nucleotides) under Escherichia coli. RNAcentral describes it as "bacterial SSU rRNA". It matches the Rfam family "Bacterial small subunit ribosomal RNA", at positions 784 to 1532 of the family's 1533-position model. Lineage: Bacteria; Pseudomonadati; Pseudomonadota; Gammaproteobacteria; Enterobacterales; Enterobacteriaceae. The record is from RNAcentral.
ACCCUGGUAGUCCACGCCGUAAACGAUGUCGACUUGGAGGUUGUGCCCUUGAGGCGUGGCUUCCGGAGCUAACGCGUUAAGUCGACCGCCUGGGGAGUACGGCCGCAAGGUUAAAACUCAAAUGAAUUGACGGGGGCCCGCACAAGCGGUGGAGCAUGUGGUUUAAUUCGAUGCAACGCGAAGAACCUUACCUGGUCUUGACAUCCACAGAACUUUCCAGAGAUGGAUUGGUGCCUUCGGGAACUGUGAGACAGGUGCUGCAUGGCUGUCGUCAGCUCGUGUUGUGAAAUGUUGGGUUAAGUCCCGCAACGAGCGCAACCCUUAUCCUUUGUUGCCAGCGGUCCGGCCGGGAACUCAAAGGAGACUGCCAGUGAUAAACUGGAGGAAGGUGGGGAUGACGUCAAGUCAUCAUGGCCCUUACGACCAGGGCUACACACGUGCUACAAUGGCGCAUACAAAGAGAAGCGACCUCGCGAGAGCAAGCGGACCUCAUAAAGUGCGUCGUAGUCCGGAUUGGAGUCUGCAACUCGACUCCAUGAAGUCGGAAUCGCUAGUAAUCGUGGAUCAGAAUGCCACGGUGAAUACGUUCCCGGGCCUUGUACACACCGCCCGUCACACCAUGGGAGUGGGUUGCAAAAGAAGUAGGUAGCUUAACCUUCGGGAGGGCGCUUACCACUUUGUGAUUCAUGACUGGGGUGAAGUCGUAACAAGGUAACCGUAGGGGAACCUGCGGUUGGAUCACCUCCUU